This 496-nucleotide ribosomal RNA is filed under the name uncultured bacterium. RNAcentral's name for it is "partial 16S ribosomal RNA". It matches the Rfam family "Bacterial small subunit ribosomal RNA", at positions 28 to 506 of the family's 1533-position model. The record is from RNAcentral.
GAUGAACGCUGGCGGCGUGCCUAAUACAUGCAAGUCGAGCGAACGGACGAGAAGCUUGCUUUUCUGAUGUUAGCAGCGGACGGGUGAGUAACACGUGGAUAACCUACCUAUAAGACUGGGAUAACUUCGGGAAACCGGAGCUAAUACCGGAUAAUAUUUUGAACCGCAUGGUUCAAAAGUGAAAGACGGUCUUGCUGUCACUUAUAGAUGGAUCCGCGCUGCAUUAGCUAGUUGGUAAGGUAACGGCUUACCAAGGCAACGAUGCAUAGCCGACCUGAGAGGGUGAUCGGCCACACUGGAACUGAGACACGGUCCAGACUCCUACGGGAGGCAGCAGUAGGGAAUCUUCCGCAAUGGGCGAAAGCCUGACGGAGCAACGCCGCGUGAGUGAUGAAGGUCUUCGGAUCGUAAAACUCUGUUAUUAGGGAAGAACAUAUGUGUAAGUAACUGUGCACAUCUUGACGGUACCUAAUCAGAAAGCCACGGCUAACUACGU